UGGGGAAUAUUGCACAAUGGGCGCAAGCCUGAUGCAGCCAUGCCGCGUGUGUGAAGAAGGCCUUCGGGUUGUAAAGCACUUUUGUCCGGAAAGAAAUGGCUCUGGUUAAUACCUGGGGUCGAUGACGGUACCGGAAGAAUAAGGACCGGCUAACUACGUGCCAGCAGCCGCGGUAAUACGUAGGGUCCAAGCGUUAAUCGGAAUUACUGGGCGUAAAGCGUGCGCAGGCGGUUGUGCAAGACCGAUGUGAAAUCCCCGAGCUUAACUUGGGAAUUGCAUUGGUGACUGCACGGCUAGAGUGUGUCAGAGGGGGGUAGAAUUCCACGUGUAGCAGUGAAAUGCGUAGAGAUGUGGAGGAAUACCGAUGGCGAAGGCAGCCCCCUGGGAUAACACUGACGCUCAUGCACGAAAGCGUGGGGAGCAAACAGGAUUAGAUACCCUGGUA
This 445-nucleotide ribosomal RNA is filed under the name uncultured bacterium. Its description in RNAcentral is "partial 16S ribosomal RNA". It matches the Rfam family "Bacterial small subunit ribosomal RNA", at positions 355 to 792 of the family's 1533-position model. The record is from RNAcentral.